ACCUGANUGCUAUNGGAUUGUACUAANNCAUGCGAGUCGUUGUAGCAAUACAAGGCGGGACGGCUCAGUAACACGUAGUCAACCUUAACCUAUGGGACGGUGAUAACCCUCGGGAACUGAGAAUAAACGCGAUAGAUCAUAAUGCCUGAAAUGGCUUAUGGUUAAAAUAAUUUUAUUGCCGUAGGGAUGGGACUGCGGCCUAUCAGCUUUGUUGGUGAGGGUAAUGGCCCCACCAGGCUAUAACAGGUACGGGCUCUGAGAAGGAGAAGCCCGGAGAUGGGUACUGAGACACGGACCCAGGCCCUAUGGGGCGCAGCAGGCGAGAAACCUUAGCAAUGUGCGAAAGCACGACUAGGUUAAUCCGAGUGAUUUUCUGUUGAAGAAAUCUUUUGUCAGUCGUAAAACCACAGACGAAUAAGGGGUGGGCAAGUCUGGUGUCAGCCGCCGCGGUAAUACCAGCACCUCGAGUGGUCAGGAGGUUUAUUGGGCCUAAAGCAUCCGUAGCCGGCUAUGCAAGUCUCCGGUUAAAUCCAACUGCUCAACAGAUGGGCUGCCGGAGAUACUACACAGCUAGGGAGCGGGAGAGGUAGACGGUAUUCUGUGGGUAGGGGUAAAAUCCACUGAUCCAUAGAGGACCACCAGUGGCGAAGGCGGUCUACCAGAACGCGUUCGACGGUGAGGGAUGAAAGCUGGGGGAGCAAACCGGAUUAGAUACCCGGGUAGUCCCAGCUGUAAACGAUGCAAACUCGGUGAUGCAUUGACUUAUGGUCAAUGCAGUGCCGCAGGGAAGCCGUUAAGUUUGCCGCCUGGGAAGUACGGACGCAAGUCUGAAACUUAAAGGAAUUGGCGGGGGAGCACCACAAGGGGUGAAGCCUGCGGUUCAAUUGGAGUCAACGCCGGGAA
RNAcentral lists this ribosomal RNA (903 nucleotides) under uncultured archaeon. RNAcentral describes it as "bacterial SSU rRNA". It matches the Rfam family "Archaeal small subunit ribosomal RNA", at positions 21 to 924 of the family's 1478-position model. The record is from RNAcentral.